GACUCAAAGAAAUUCUUACCUCUCAGACAGGACCACUUGGCAAUCUGGUCUCCUUUAGAACUUUCUUUAGAACUCUGAUGUUCUCAUUUUAUUCAGCUGAAUUCUGAGACCUAAUUCAGGCUUCCAACAAAGAACAGCUGUUCUUGGGACCAGAUUACUGCCCACAGUUUCUGCUGAAUGAAAAACCUCUUGAGUCAAAAGCACAGAGAGCAAAAGCUGGGCUAGUGUUAGCUGGGCUGCAACAGGCAACAGCAAGAAGCAGAGAUGCUAACUUGAAAAACACUCAAUUACAGGUAUGAUUUUUUUUUCUUCUUGAAAUAUAGUUUGAUCAUCCUGAGACAUCCUGGGAGUUCUGAUCUAUAUAACCUCUGGGGAGCUGCUAUUUAGCUUCUAAUUAAUUGGAUUGUUGUAGUCUUAUUGGAAUAGCUUACUGAAUUUACACAUACACAGUUUCUCCUGUGCAUUUGUGCACUGGACAAAAACUGUUAAAUGUUACUAAAGACUCUCUAGCAAUAAAUGCUAUCACCUUCUCAGGGGACAGGCUUUUAGUGCUUUCACCCAGUUUUCCAAAAUCUUGCAGCUGGCUGUCAUGUUAUGAGUUGUUUCACCAGAGCCAACAGGCGGAUAGCAAAGCACAUGUAAAAACAGGUGAACAUAGAGGUCAACUUGAAUAUCUAAAACCAACCAAGCAAAAGCACACAAAGAGAAGAAA
Long non-coding RNA from Gallus gallus (chicken), 712 nucleotides. RefSeq lists it as uncharacterized. NCBI's taxonomy places the organism in Eukaryota, Metazoa, Chordata, Aves, Galliformes, Phasianidae. The record is from RefSeq and is a predicted model, not a curated record. The transcript has 3 exons.